This is a long non-coding RNA of Myotis brandtii (Brandt's bat), 89 nucleotides long. RefSeq lists it as uncharacterized. NCBI's taxonomy places the organism in Eukaryota, Metazoa, Chordata, Mammalia, Chiroptera, Vespertilionidae. The record is from RefSeq and is a predicted model, not a curated record. The transcript is spliced from 3 exons.
CAGCCGCCCGUCUUCCACAUAGAACUGCACCCGGAGGAAGGCCACAAACGGGGCCCUGGACCUCCUGCCCUCCGGACGCCCCCGGCUCC